Molecule: ribosomal RNA, 253 nt
Filed under: uncultured bacterium
Lineage: Bacteria
Description: partial 16S ribosomal RNA
Rfam family: Bacterial small subunit ribosomal RNA
Source: RNAcentral
UACGGAGGGUGCAAGCGUUAUCCGGAUUUACUGGGUUUAAAGGGUGCGUAGGUGGAUUUGUAAGUCAGUGGUGAAAUCUCCGAGCUUAACUCGGAAACUGCCAUUGAUACUGCUAGUCUAGAGUAUAGAUGACGUUGGCGGAAUAUGACAUGUAGUGGUGAAAUACUUAGAUAUGUCAUAGAACACCGAUUGCGAAGGCAGCUAACGAAACUAUAACUGACGCUGAGGCACGAAAGUGCGGGGAUCAAACAGG